RNAcentral lists this transfer RNA (71 nucleotides) under Listeria monocytogenes. Its description in RNAcentral is "tRNA-Pro(tgg)". It matches the Rfam family "tRNA". From Rfam's summary of the family: Transfer RNA (tRNA) molecules are approximately 80 nucleotides in length. The record is from RNAcentral. Lineage: Bacteria; Bacillati; Bacillota; Bacilli; Caryophanales; Listeriaceae.
CGAGUAGCUCAGCUUGGUAGAGCACUUGGUUUGGGACCAAGGGGUCGCAGGUUCGAAUCCUGUCUUCCCGA